RNAcentral lists this long non-coding RNA (205 nucleotides) under Mytilus galloprovincialis (Mediterranean mussel). Lineage: Eukaryota; Metazoa; Mollusca; Bivalvia; Mytilida; Mytilidae. The record is from RNAcentral.
GUUUGUACCAUAAAUGAGCAAGAACAAUUAUCUUCACUAAUUUGCUUUAUGCUUUGUACAAGUUUCAGAUCUGUAAAAUACUGGUUUGAGAAAAUUUUAUGUUGGAUGUACAGAUAAUAAAGGUAUGUAUUAUAUAAAAAUGGAAAGGGCAGAUACAUGAGUUUGAAAAUACAGCAAAAUAUGUUAUCGCUUAAUUUCACGGCAA